AUGUUUGAUGUUCUAACGUGGACCCGUAAUCCGGGUUGCGGACAGUGUCUGGUGGGUAGUUUGACUGGGGCGGUCUCCUCCUAAAGAGUAACGGAGGAGCACGAAGGUUGGCUAAUCCUGGUCGGACAUCAGGAGGUUAGUGCAAUGGCAUAAGCCAGCUUGACUGCGAGCGUGACGGCGCGAGCAGGUGCGAAAGCAGGUCAUAGUGAUCCGGUGGUUCUGAAUGGAAGGGCCAUCGCUCAACGGAUAAAAGGUACUCCGGGGAUAACAGGCUGAUACCGCCCAAGAGUUCAUAUCGACGGCGGUGUUUGGCACCUCGAUGUCGGCUCAUCACAUCCUGGGGCUGAAGUAGGUCCCAAGGGUAUGGCUGUUCGCCAUUUAAAGUGGUACGCGAGCUGGGUUUAGAACGUCGUGAGACAGUUCGGUCCCUAUCUGCCGUGGGCGCUGGAGAACUGAGGGGGGCUGCUCCUAGUACGAGAGGACCGGAGUGGACGCAUCACUGGUGUUCGG
Molecule: ribosomal RNA, 510 nt
Filed under: Salmonella enterica
Lineage: Bacteria; Pseudomonadati; Pseudomonadota; Gammaproteobacteria; Enterobacterales; Enterobacteriaceae
Also listed under: 1 other name
Description: partial 23S ribosomal RNA
Rfam family: Bacterial large subunit ribosomal RNA
Source: RNAcentral